This 492-nucleotide ribosomal RNA is filed under the name uncultured bacterium. RNAcentral describes it as "partial 16S ribosomal RNA". It matches the Rfam family "Bacterial small subunit ribosomal RNA", at positions 29 to 507 of the family's 1533-position model. The record is from RNAcentral.
AGUGAACGCUGGCGGUAGGCCUAACACAUGCAAGUCGAACGGCAGCACAGUAAGAGCUUGCUCUUACGGGUGGCGAGUGGCGGACGGGUGAGGAAUACAUCGGAAUCUACUUUUUCGUGGGGGAUAUCGUAGGGAAACUUACGCUAAUACCGCAUACGACCUACGGGUGAAAGCAGGGGAUCUUCGGACCUUGCGCGAUUGAAUGAGCCGAUGUCGGAUUAGCUAGUUGGCGGGGUAAAGGCCCACCAAGGCGACGAUCCGUAGCUGGUCUGAGAGGAUGAUCAGCCACACUGGAACUGAGACACGGUCCAGACUCCUACGGGAGGCAGCAGUGGGGAAUAUUGGACAAUGGGCGCAAGCCUGAUCCAGCCAUACCGCGUGGGUGAAGAAGGCCUUCGGGUUGUAAAGCCCUUUUGUUGGGAAAGAAAAGCAGCAGGUUAAUACCCCGCUGUUCUGACGGUACCCAAAGAAUAAGCACCGGCUAACUUUGUG